RNAcentral lists this ribosomal RNA (446 nucleotides) under uncultured bacterium. RNAcentral describes it as "partial 16S ribosomal RNA". It matches the Rfam family "Bacterial small subunit ribosomal RNA", at positions 338 to 795 of the family's 1533-position model. The record is from RNAcentral.
CCUACGGGGUGCUGCAGUCGAGAAUCAUUCACAAUGGGGGAAACCCUGAUGGUGCGACGCCGCGUGGGGGAAUGAAGGUCUUCGGAUUGUAAACCCCUGUCAUGUGGGAGCAAAUUAAAAAGAUAGUACCACAAGAGGAAGAGACGGCUAACUCUGUGCCAGCAGCCGCGGUAAUACAGAGGUCUCAAGCGUUGUUCGGAAUCACUGGGCGUAAAGCGUGCGUAGGCUGUUUCGUAAGUCGUGUGUGAAAGGCGCGGGCUCAACCCGCGGACGGCACAUGAUACUGCGAGACUAGAGUGAUGGAGGGGGAACCGGAAUUCUCGGUGUAGCAGUGAAAUGCGUAGAUAUCGAGAGGAACACUCGUGGCGAAGGCGGGUUCCUGGACAUUAACUGACGCUGAGGCACGAAGGCCAGGGGAGCGAAAGGGAUUAGAUACCCCAGUAGUC